UAACAAGGAUUCCCCUAGUAACUGCGAGUGAAGCGGGAAAAGCUCAAAUUUAAAAUCUGGCAGUGGUUCACUGCCCGAGUUGUAAUCUAGAGAAGUGUUGCUCACACUGGACCAUGUAUAAGUCUUCUGGAAUGAAGCGUCAUAGAGGGUGAGAAUCCCGUCUUUGACAUGGACUCCCAGUGUAUUUGUAGUAUGCUCUCAAAGAGUCGAGUUGUUUGGGAAUGCAGCUCUAAAUGGGUGGUAACCUCCAUCUAAAGCUAAAUAUUGGCGAGAGACCGAUAGUGAACAAGUACCGUGAGGGAAAGAUGAAAAGAACUUUGGAAAGAGAGUUAAAAAGUACGUGAAAUUGUUGAAAGGGAAACGCUUGAAGUCAGUCACAUUGGCCAGGGAUCAACUUGCUUUAAGUGUACUUCCUGGCUGAUGGGCCAACAUCAGCUUUGACUGUCAGAGAAGGGUAGGGGGAAUGUGGCACCCUCUUGGGUGUGUUAUAGCCCUCUGUCAUAUAUGGCCGUUGGGGCUGAGGAAUGCAGCGCGCCGCAAGGCCGGGUUUCGACCACGUUCGCGCUUAGGAUGUUGGCAUAAUGGCUUUAAUCGAC
Molecule: ribosomal RNA, 596 nt
Filed under: Amanita caesareoides
Lineage: Eukaryota; Fungi; Basidiomycota; Agaricomycetes; Agaricales; Amanitaceae
Description: eukaryotic LSU rRNA
Rfam family: Eukaryotic large subunit ribosomal RNA
Source: RNAcentral